Molecule: ribosomal RNA, 663 nt
Filed under: Alcaligenes faecalis
Lineage: Bacteria; Pseudomonadati; Pseudomonadota; Betaproteobacteria; Burkholderiales; Alcaligenaceae
Description: bacterial SSU rRNA
Rfam family: Bacterial small subunit ribosomal RNA
Source: RNAcentral
GGGUAGUCCACGCCCUAAACGAUGUCAACUAGCUGUUGGGGCCGUUAGGCCUUAGUAGCGCAGCUAACGCGUGAAGUUGACCGCCUGGGGAGUACGGUCGCAAGAUUAAAACUCAAAGGAAUUGACGGGGACCCGCACAAGCGGUGGAUGAUGUGGAUUAAUUCGAUGCAACGCGAAAAACCUUACCUACCCUUGACAUGUCUGGAAAGCCGAAGAGAUUUGGCCGUGCUCGCAAGAGAACCGGAACACAGGUGCUGCAUGGCUGUCGUCAGCUCGUGUCGUGAGAUGUUGGGUUAAGUCCCGCAACGAGCGCAACCCUUGUCAUUAGUUGCUACGCAAGAGCACUCUAAUGAGACUGCCGGUGACAAACCGGAGGAAGGUGGGGAUGACGUCAAGUCCUCAUGGCCCUUAUGGGUAGGGCUUCACACGUCAUACAAUGGUCGGGACAGAGGGUCGCCAACCCGCGAGGGGGAGCCAAUCUCAGAAACCCGAUCGUAGUCCGGAUCGCAGUCUGCAACUCGACUGCGUGAAGUCGGAAUCGCUAGUAAUCGCGGAUCAGAAUGUCGCGGUGAAUACGUUCCCGGGUCUUGUACACACCGCCCGUCACACCAUGGGAGUGGGUUUCACCAGAAGUAGGUAGCCUAACCGCAAGGAGGGCGCUAC